UCAGACACACCUCGGUUCAAAUCUUAGCUUACCCCUAACUAGCUUUGUGACUUUGGAAGGUUAUUUAACCUAAAUUCCACUUUCCUUAUUCGUAAAAUGGAGACAAAAAUGGUCCUUAUCCCAAAGGGUCUUUGGGAGGAACUGGAUGAGGGCAUCAUAAGGCACGGAGCAGAGAUCCCAGCCUGGCUGAGUAAACCAAGGCAUGAUUGUGGGUCUCUUAUGCUUGGCAUCUGGUACAGUGACUAGCACAGAAUGGGUGCUAAACAUUUAUUUGCAAGAUAAAUACUUGAAUAAACUGCAGAGCCUACCACUUAAUAUUGUUUUAGCUUAGCAUCCUGAAGGUGUCUGGGGGCCAAGUAGCUGAUGAAAGAAAUGGAAAAGACAAGCAGAAAUCCAAGAGGGGUCAGGACCAAGAACAGCCAACCAGCCAUGAGCUGCUGACAUUCCUACGGGUACAGCCCCUGCUCCCAGGGCCAACUAAGGCUUGAUGGAUUGUCAAUGGGCACUGAGAUUUUUUUUUUUUCUGCUCAGGUUUAUCAUAGGACUUACUCCUGGAAUUAGAAGCCACUCACUCCCUCACCCACUUGCCUAUCCAUUGGGAAAUCUUUUUGGCUUUACCUUUAAAAUAUAUUCAGAAUCCUCCCUUUCUCUCCCUCUCUUCCUUCUGCCAUUCCUACUAUUCUGGGCUGAGCCAUCAUCAUCUCCCACCUUGAUAAGCAACAGGCUCCUCACUGGUCUCUGAUCCUCCUUCGUUCUCCUACUGUCCGUUCUUAGUACAGCAACUAGAGUAAUCCUUUUACAAGGUCAGAUCAUAUCACUCCUCUGCUCAAACUGCUCAGUGGCUGCCCAUCUCAUGCAGAGUCAAAGCCAGAAGGCCUACAAUGGCCUAUGAACUCUCUACUUGCUCUGUCCCACCCCCUUGCAUUUGACCUCAUCCUAUUCCUUUCUCCCUUGCUUACUCUGCUCCAGUUGCAAGGCCUUCUGCUGUCCUCAAAUGCACAAACAUGCUCCUGCCUAAGGGCCUUCCUCUGAUCAGUCCCCUCCAUCUGGGUGUUCAUCCUUCAGACACUCCCAUGGAGAAGACCCUCAUCUCCUUCAGCUCUCCUCAAACUUCACUUCUUGAUGAGAUCUAUCCUGGCCACGUUGUUAAUUAAUACUGUUUAAAAUCAGAACUGCACCCCUUUAACAUUCUCAAUCCCUCUUUUUUUUUUUUUUCCAGGGCCACACUCAUGGCAUAUGGAGGUUCCCAGGCUAGGGUCCGGAUCAGAGCUGUAGUUGCCGGCCUACCCCACAGCCACAGCAACUAGAGAUCCAAGCCGCAUCUGCAACCUACAUCAGAGCUCACAGGCAAUGUCAGAUCCUUACCCCACUGAUGAGGCCAGGGAUCAAACCUGUGUCCUCAUGAAUAUAAGUCAGAUUCAUUUCCUCUGAGCCACAGUGGGAACUCCAAUUCUCAAUCCCUCUUAUCUCUAUCAUUAAAGAUUUAUUUAUUCUAUUUUUAUUGGUUGUAGUUCCCCUAGAAUAUAAGUUCCAUGAGGGCAGGAAUUUUCAUCUUUUUAUCAGCAGUGUAUUCCAAGCAUCUGGAACACUGGCCAACCCAUAGCAGGUACUCAGUAAAAUUUGUUGAAUGAACCAAUUACCUAACAUUUUAUAAUCCAAUAGUCUCUCUCCCUGUCUCAGAAUCUACCUCUUCAUGAAUAUGCCAGGAAGCUGACCACCUCCUUGAAGUCUCUGUGCCGGUAUCUUAGAGUCUAUAAAGGAAACUAAGGGAGAAACCACCCUCUCCCCAGGGGAAUCCAAGGACACACCCAGCUUCAGCUGUACCUUCUGGGCCAGGAAUGACCUCACUGAGGGUGGAACAGUCUAGCACUGAACUGUUCAAACUCUUGAUUUUUUUUUUUUUUCCUUUCCUCUGCUUUGUUUUUGCACCAGCAUUACUGACAAGAUCUGCAGAACUUGAGCACAGGGGUGGAGAA
Molecule: long non-coding RNA, 1976 nt
Filed under: Sus scrofa (pig)
Lineage: Eukaryota; Metazoa; Chordata; Mammalia; Artiodactyla; Suidae
Description: lncRNA (ENSSSCG00015041222.1)
Source: RNAcentral